RNAcentral lists this ribosomal RNA (348 nucleotides) under Triticum aestivum (bread wheat). Its description in RNAcentral is "partial small subunit ribosomal RNA". The record is from RNAcentral. Lineage: Eukaryota; Viridiplantae; Streptophyta; Magnoliopsida; Poales; Poaceae.
AUGGCAAAAGUGUCCGGUGAGGAGCUAGGAGCCGAGCACGCCAACGGCGCGGAGCUGUUCGUCAUCAAGAGGAUGAUGGACGCCAUUAGGGAUCACCGGACCAAGCUCAACAUCUCCCUUGGCUUCGUCGACGCUGUGUCUCUGAGGGUUGCCGCCGUUCGCGACGACAAAGCUCCAGGCGUGGGCGCGCACGGCAAAGGCGAAGACGACCAGAGCCACCUGAACUUCUGUAUCAACGAGCAUCGAUUGAGCAUUUCAGUGUUGCCGGAAGACACAUGCGUACAGGGCUGGCUUGAUAUAGUCAUGUACAAGCACGAACUAGUACGUGAGUCAGUGAGUCCGGCUUGA